AAUGCCCCCGGGUGAUCUUCUCAUCCACGGACCCGGUGGAGACGGCGAACUCCAACAAUCUGGGGGCUCGGGAUCGAGAUAGAGGUCGGCAUUCGGCAAAUACCAGACGAGACCUGAAUGGGCACGGAAGGCUGCAGGCGCCACUAACAAAAGAACUGAAGCUUUCGAAGGUCAUUUGGAAAAGCACAAGAAAGGACCUUGUGAAAUACAUACAGGAUUACAAGCCCCUUAUUGAUUCAGUGCCUCAGGCUCGGAUUCUUCUCAUUGGUCAGAUUACAGCUGGAAAAUCAAGCUUCUUCAACUCCAUCAACUCUAUCUUCCGUGGCAACAUAACAAGCCAAGCUGACGUAGGAUUUGUAGGAACAAGCCUGACCUUGAAGUUAAUGUGAUUAUGCGAGUCUUCAUUUCACAUGAAAGACUACCUUAUACAGCUGUCCACCAUUCUGGUCAGUGUUUGUUCCACAUCUGCUAUGUUUAUUUGCAGUUUGUUACUCGUUGCUCUUUGUUGUCCUCAUUUAGGACAGUACUGAAUCCCUUGUAUGAAAUUUAGUUUGAGCCCAUUGUCACAAAAAUUUUACCCAGAGACAUAGUUCUGAAGUGAUGGGAAAUUAUUUCUUCUUGCAAAAGGGAAGCAGAGUGAUACACAAGAGAUGAUCACAGACAGCUUCAAUGAAAAGGAGGUGCAAUGUUCUAAUUUAUACAUUGGGACAAGCUAUAUAUAAAUGGUCUACUCUCCAUAA
Long non-coding RNA from Brienomyrus brachyistius, 740 nucleotides. RefSeq lists it as uncharacterized. The transcript has 3 exons. The record is from RefSeq and is a predicted model, not a curated record. NCBI's taxonomy places the organism in Eukaryota, Metazoa, Chordata, Actinopteri, Osteoglossiformes, Mormyridae.